Molecule: ribosomal RNA, 460 nt
Filed under: uncultured bacterium
Lineage: Bacteria
Description: partial 16S ribosomal RNA
Rfam family: Bacterial small subunit ribosomal RNA
Source: RNAcentral
CCUACGGGUGGCAGCAGUGAGGAAUAUUGGUCAAUGGACGAGAGUCUGAACCAGCCAAGUAGCGUGAAGGAUGACUGCCCUAUGGGUUGUAAACUUCUUUUAUAAAGGAAUAAAACGAGGCACGUGUGCCUUUUUGCAUGUACUUUAUGAAUAAGGAUCGGCUAACUCCGUGCCAGCAGCCGCGGUAAUACGGAGGAUCCGAGCGCUAUCCGGAUUUAUUGGGUUUAAAGGGAGCGUAGAUGGGUUGUUAAGUCAGUUGUGAAAGUUUGCGGCUCAACCGUAAAAUUGCAAUUGAUACUGGCAGUCGUGAGUACAGUUGAGGUAGGCGGAAUGCGUGGUGUAGCGGUGAAAUGCUUAGAUAUCACGAAGAACUCCGAUUGCGAAGGCAGCUUACUAAACUGCCACUGACAUUGAUGCUCGAAAGUGUGGGUAUCAAACAGGAUUAGAUACCCCUGUAGUC